GCCUCUCUCUCUCAUAUCUAGCCUUAAUAAUGCCGUGAUCUUUAAUUUUUUUUUAAUAUACAUAUCUUUGAAUAAUAUUACAUUUAAUUUUCUUGCAAUAAAACUGGCAAUGUAAUAUUGGGUUUAAGUUUGUAAGUUUUCAAUGUCACUAGUAUUAAUUGACCUCUCUCUCAAUCGACCAUUAGCCACCCUCAGUUCUAAAUUUAAAUUACUAAGACUAUAAAUACAUUCAUUAGCAAACAAAUGUUCAUAUGUUGUAUGACAGCCUUCAGUGAAAUCUUCGCAAUAGUUCCCAAGUGAGUUAGUUGAUGUUAAGUUAUUG
This is a non-coding RNA of Cinara cedri, 322 nucleotides long. Lineage: Eukaryota; Metazoa; Arthropoda; Insecta; Hemiptera; Aphididae. The record is from the annotation of a GenBank genome assembly.